This 497-nucleotide ribosomal RNA is filed under the name uncultured bacterium. RNAcentral describes it as "partial 16S ribosomal RNA". It matches the Rfam family "Bacterial small subunit ribosomal RNA", at positions 28 to 507 of the family's 1533-position model. The record is from RNAcentral.
GAUGAACGCUGGCGGCGUGCCUAAUACAUGCAAGUCGAGCGAACAGACGAGUAGCUUGCCUCUCUGACGUUAGGGGCGGACGGGUGAGUAAUACGUGGAUAACCUACCUAUAAGACUGGGAUAACACCGGGAAUCCGGAGCUAUUACCGGACAAUAUAUUGAACCGCAUGGUUCAAUAGUGAAAGACGGUUUUGCUGUCACUUAUAGAUGGAUCCGCGCCGCAGUAGCUAGUUGGUCAGGCAACGGCUUACCAAGGCUACGUUGAGUAGCCGACCUGAGAGGGUGGCUGGCCACACUGGAACGGGGACCCGGCCCAGGCUCCAUCGGGAGGCAGCAGUAGGGAAUCUUCCGCAAUGGGCGAAGGCUUGACGGAACAACGCCGCGGGAAUGAUGAGGGUCUUCGGAUCGUAAACCUCUGUUAUUAGGGAGGAACAAAUGUGUAAGUAACUAUACCCGUCUUGGCGGUGCCUAAUCGGAAAGCCGCGGCUAACUCCGUG